GACAGUGAACUAACAAAAUAACACACUAAUUUACAUUUAAUAUUUAAUAAAAUAGAAAACAACAUUAUGCAAAAAAGUUCACACAUGCUCAAAUGAAGAAAUGAACCCCUUAUGUAGCAAGAGUUUCAUGUAUAAUAAAACUUCAACUCAUAAAAGUGUGCUAAAUUAACAUGUACUUUAACAGAAUAUUUUUUGUUAUUUCUCUAUUUUAACUCAAUAUCCUACUGCAAUCCCACAACUUUACAUACACAAAAAUAAUCCCACAACUAAACCAUGAAUUUGAGAGUUGCAAAAGUAAACUUUCUCAUAACUACAUAAUUCAUUUUAAUAUAAACAUCUUAAAAAAACACUAAUAAAGGUAAAUGUAUUCAUUCCAUGUUUCUCUUUUAAAAAAUAUUUACUCAACUUUUAAUACAUAAUGCACGUAACCAGAAGUUCGUGUAAAAUUAAAAGAAAAAAAAGUUCAAAUACUAAGAAUUCUUAAAGCCACCAUAUUAAUAUAAAAAAACAUUAGAACGUUCUUUCAUUUAAUAAAAGAGUGAAAACAGACAGAAUAUAUCCUAAGAUUGCAUCUUUUGGUCUUAUCUCAAUCGACACUUAUUUUAUAGAGUUAAAGAAAGAACCUAAAGAUGGAAAAUAACUUGAAUGACUAGCCGAUAACCUCGUUUAUCCACCAAUCAAACGAACACAAUAAUUGAAACUAGCAGUACCAAAAGAACCCAGAAGACACCUUGAAACUCAACAACUUUCUCUUUUUUUUUUUUUUUUGAGAAGAAAGAACUAUAUAUUUUUUUGAAAGGUUUUUGCUCUUUUCAGGGAAAUACUGAGAAAGGGUGCUGAAUUUUUUCUUCAGCUCCCCUUUUUUCUGAUCUCCC
This 875-nucleotide long non-coding RNA is filed under the name Nicotiana benthamiana. RNAcentral describes it as "long non-coding RNA (NBEN_LNC015677)". Lineage: Eukaryota; Viridiplantae; Streptophyta; Magnoliopsida; Solanales; Solanaceae. The record is from RNAcentral.